AUACGAACCGUACGAACGUUAUUCGGAAUCACUGGGCUUAAAGAGUGCGUAGGCGGCUUGGAAAGUUGGGUGUGAAAUCCCUCGGCUCAACCGAGGAAUUGCGCUCAAAACUUCCAGGCUUGAGGGAGAUAGAGGUAAGCGGAACUAAUGGUGGAGCGGUGAAAUGCGUUGAUAUCAUUAGGAACACCUGAGGCGAAAGCAGCUUACUGGGUCUCUUCUGACGCUGAGGCACGAAAGCUAGGGGAGCGAACGGGAUUAGAAACCCGAGUAGUCC
RNAcentral lists this ribosomal RNA (274 nucleotides) under uncultured bacterium. RNAcentral's name for it is "partial 16S ribosomal RNA". It matches the Rfam family "Bacterial small subunit ribosomal RNA", at positions 523 to 796 of the family's 1533-position model. The record is from RNAcentral.